This 493-nucleotide ribosomal RNA is filed under the name uncultured bacterium. RNAcentral's name for it is "partial 16S ribosomal RNA". It matches the Rfam family "Bacterial small subunit ribosomal RNA", at positions 29 to 508 of the family's 1533-position model. The record is from RNAcentral.
AGUGAGCGCUGGCGGUAGGCCUAACACAUGCAAGUCGAACGGCAGCACAGUAAGAGCUUGCUCUUACGGGUGGCGAGUGGCGGACGGGUGAGGAAUACAUCGGAAUCUACUUUUUCGUGGGGGAUAACGUAGGGAAACUUACGCUAAUACCGCAUACGACCUACGGGUGAAAGCAGGGGAUCUUCGGACCUUGCGCGAUUGAAUGAGCCGAUGUCGGAUUAGCUAGUUGGCGGGGUAAAGGCCCACCAAGGCGACGAUCCGUAGCUGGUCUGAGAGGAUGAUCAGCCACACUGGAACUGAGACACGGUCCAGACUCCGACGGGAGGCAGCAGUGGGGAAUAUUGGACAAUGGGCGCAAGCCUGAUCCAGCCAUACCGCGUGGGUGAAGAAGGCCUUCGGGUUGUAAAGCCCUUUUGUUGGGAAAGAAAAGCAGCAGGUUAAUACCCCGCUGUUCUGACGGUACCCAAAGAAUAAGCACCGGCUAACUUCGUGC